UCAGGAUGAACGCUAGCGGCAGGCCUAACACAUGCAAGUCGAGGGGCAGCGGGGAAAAGCUUGCUUUUCCGCCGGCGACCGGCGCACGGGUGCGCACCGCGUAUGGAACCUGCCUUGUACAGGGGAAUAGCCCAGGGAAACUUGGAUUAAUGCCCCGUAGUACCGUAUUUCGGCAUCGUUAUACGGUUAAAGCCUUCGGRCGGUACAAGAUGGCCAUGCGUCCCAUUAGCUAGAUGGUAAGGUAACGGCUUACCAUGGCUACGAUGGGUAGGGGCCCUGAGAGGGGGAUCCCCCACACUGGUACUGAGACACGGACCAGACUCCUACGGGAGGCAGCAGUGAGGAAUAUUGGACAAUGGAGGAGACUCUGAUCCAGCCAUGCCGCGUGCAGGAAGAAUGCCCUAUGGGUAGUAAACUGCUUUUAUACGGGAAGAAAAAGAGCUACGUKUAGCUUACUGACGGUACCGUAAGAAUAAGGACCGGCUAACUCCGUGCCAGCAGCCGCGGUAAUACGGAGGGUCCGAGCGUUAUCCGGAAUUAUUGGGUUUAAAGGGUCCGUAGGCGGGCCGAUAAGUCAGGGGUGAAAGUCUGCCGCUCAACGGUAGAACUGCCUUUGAUACUGUCGGUCUUGAGUUAUAGUGAAGUUGCCGGAAUAUGUAGUGUAGCGGUGAAAUGCAUAGAUAUUACAUAGAACACCGAUUGCGAAGGCAGGUGACUAACUAUAUACUGACGCUGAUGGACGAAAGCGUGGGGAGCGAACAGGAUUAGAU
RNAcentral lists this ribosomal RNA (770 nucleotides) under Maribacter sp. MAR_2009_71. RNAcentral describes it as "bacterial SSU rRNA". It matches the Rfam family "Bacterial small subunit ribosomal RNA", at positions 24 to 783 of the family's 1533-position model. The record is from RNAcentral. Lineage: Bacteria; Pseudomonadati; Bacteroidota; Flavobacteriia; Flavobacteriales; Flavobacteriaceae.